UUUUGAUGCUAAAGGCUUCGAUGUCUCUUAUGAAGGUGACCGAAGAGAUGAAGAAUGGGCAAUAGCACUUGAAAAGUAUGUUAAAGACUAUCCAGAUGUAAAAAAAUCAGGGCCCCUAAAAUCUCAGAACCGGCCCUG
Long non-coding RNA from Asparagus officinalis (garden asparagus), 138 nucleotides. RefSeq lists it as uncharacterized. NCBI's taxonomy places the organism in Eukaryota, Viridiplantae, Streptophyta, Magnoliopsida, Asparagales, Asparagaceae. The record is from RefSeq and is a predicted model, not a curated record. The transcript has 3 exons.